Molecule: transfer RNA, 66 nt
Filed under: Clionella kraussii
Lineage: Eukaryota; Metazoa; Mollusca; Gastropoda; Neogastropoda; Clavatulidae
Description: tRNA-Ala
Source: RNAcentral
GACUCGAUACUUUAAAAUAAAAGACCUGAUUUGCAUUUAGAUAAUAAGUUUAAAAACUUUCGGGUC